UAACAUAAAGGUUUGUGGUCAGUAUAC
RNAcentral lists this small RNA (27 nucleotides) under Bombyx mori (domestic silkworm). RNAcentral describes it as "ovarian small RNA-5633". The record is from RNAcentral. Lineage: Eukaryota; Metazoa; Arthropoda; Insecta; Lepidoptera; Bombycidae.